RNAcentral lists this ribosomal RNA (1641 nucleotides) under Leucangium sp. MT-2010. RNAcentral's name for it is "eukaryotic LSU rRNA". The stretch from base 734 to 1641 matches the Rfam family "Eukaryotic large subunit ribosomal RNA", at positions 1 to 968 of the family's 3401-position model. Lineage: Eukaryota; Fungi; Ascomycota; Pezizomycetes; Pezizales; Morchellaceae. The record is from RNAcentral.
CAUUACAACGUAAAAACGUCCCCGUCAGGGAGUCGGUGGUCAGCGGGCGCCUGAGCGGCGUCGGGCCCGUGCCCGGUGGGCCAGUGAUUGUAGCUUUGUGCUAGGGGGGUGGACCCAAACGAAGGUUCAAAGACAACCGGGAGGACCCACGUCACACCUGCCUGCCGGUGCGGCACCCCGACGACGACUCUCGCGUGGUCGCGACCGUCCGGCUCUCUGCCACACACAAACCACUCUGCGUACCUUUCCACGUUGCUUCCCCGUCCCGUCCACGGAGCGGGGGAGGUCCAACCCACGAAACCCUUGAUCUAGAACCGUCCGUCAGAAGUAAAAGCAGUUUUACAAAAACUUUCAACAACGGAUCUCUUGGUUCCCACAUCGAUGAAGAACGCAGCGAAAUGCGAUAAGUAAUGUGAAUUGCAGAAUCCAGUGAAUCAUCGAAUCUUUGAACGCACAUUGCGCCCUCUGGCAUUCCGGGGGGCAUGCCUGUCCGAGUGUCAUCAAACACCCUCCCCCGGGACCUUCUCAUAGCGAGUUGGCAAGGGGGGUUUUGGCCGUCUGGCUUUCCGCGGGUCCGCUUCGGCGGCCCGACCGGGCCCGGCUCAAAUUCCAGGUCUGUAGGCAGGAGCGUGCUGUCGGUCGACGUAAUGGUAACACGUAACGUCGUCCCAGCCCCAGAGUCCUUCAGAACCACAAACGGCGUGCCUCGCGCGGCGACGCCACACCAGCGGUUUGACCUCGGAUCAGGUAGGGAUACCCGCUGAACUUAAGCAUAUCAUAGGCGAGUGAAGCGGCAACAGCUCAAAUUUUAAAGCUGGCGUCCUCGACGUCCGCGUUGUAAUUUGGAGAGGCACCUUCGGUUUGGGCGCUGGCUUAUGUUCCUUGGAACAGGACGUCACAGAGGGUGAGAAUCCCGUGCCGUCGGCUGUCCCAUUCCACGUGAAGUGUCUUCGACGAGUCGAGUUGUUUGGGAAUGCAGCUCAAAAUGGGUGGUAAAUUUCAUCUAAAGCUAAAUAUUGGUGGGAGACCGAUAGCGCACAAGUAGAGUGAUCGAAAGAUGAAAAGCACUUUGAAAAUAGAGUUAAAAAGUACGUGAAAUUGUUGAAAGGGAAGCGCUUGAGACCAGACUCGGCUUCGGACGAUCAGCCUCCCUUCUGGGCGGUGCACUCGUCUUUGGUCGGGCCAGCAUCGGUUGAGACGGCGGGACAAGGGCUUCGGGAAUGUGGCUCCUCUCGGGGAGUGUUAUAGCCCGUGGUGCAAUGCCGCCCGCCUCGACCGAGGACCGCGCUUCGGCUAGGAUGCUGGCGUAAUGGUCUUCAGCGACCCGUCUUGAAACACGGACCAAGGAGUCUAACAUCUAUGCGAGUGUUUGGGUGUCAAACCCUUGCGCGGAAUGAAAGUGAACGGGGGUGGGAACCCGCAAGGGCGCACCAUCGACCGGUCCUGAUGUCUUCGGAUGGAUCUGAGUAGGAGCAUAGCUGUUGGGACCCGAAAGAUGGUGAACUAUGCCUGAAUAGGGUGAAGCCAGAGGAAACUCUGGUGGAGGCUCGCAGCGGUUCUGACGUGCAAAUCGAUCGUCGAAUUUGGGUAUAGGGGCGAAAGACUAAUCGAACCAUCUAGUAGCUGGUUCCUGCCGAAGUU